RNAcentral lists this ribosomal RNA (408 nucleotides) under uncultured bacterium. Its description in RNAcentral is "partial 16S ribosomal RNA". It matches the Rfam family "Bacterial small subunit ribosomal RNA", at positions 29 to 526 of the family's 1533-position model. The record is from RNAcentral.
AGUGAACGCUGGCGGCGUGCCUAAUACAUGCAAGUCGAACGGAGUGGCGCACGGGUGAGUAAUAUAUAGCUAAUCUGCCCCUUGCUGGAGGACAACAGUUAGAAAUGACUGCUAAUACUCCAUAGCAAUGGAUGAGCCGAUAUCGUAUUAGCUAGUCGGUGGGGUAACGGCCUACCGAGGCGAUGACGCGUAACUGGUCUGAGAGGAUGAUCCGUCACAUCGGAACUGAGACACGGUCCGGACUCCUACGGGAGGCAGCAGUAGGGAAUAGUGCGCAAGGGGGGAAACCCUGACGUAGCAACGGCGCGUGGAGGAUGUCAAUUUGCGGAGCAUAAACUCCUUUUGUUAGGGAAGCGGUACCUAACGAAUAAGCACCGGCUAACUCCGUGCCAGCCGCCGCGGUAAUUC